RNAcentral lists this ribosomal RNA (292 nucleotides) under uncultured Bacteroidota bacterium. RNAcentral describes it as "uncultured Bacteroidetes bacterium partial 16S ribosomal RNA". Lineage: Bacteria; Pseudomonadati; Bacteroidota. The record is from RNAcentral.
GGACUACUGGGGUAUCUAAUCCUGUUUGAUCCCCACGCUUUCGUGCCUCAGCGUCAAUCGCUGUUUAGUGAGCUGCCUUCGCAAUUGGUGUUCUAUGUCAUAUCUAUGCAUUUCACCGCUACAUGACAUAUUCCGCCCACCUCAACAGAAUUCAAGGCUAAUAGUAUCAAUGGCAGUUUCCGGGUUGAGCCCGGAGAUUUCACCACUGACUUAAUAACCCGCCUACACACCCUUUAAACCCAGUGAAUCCGGAUAACGCUUGCACCCUCCGUAUUACCGCGGCUGCUGGCAC